UGCGUAUAUUAUAUUAUUAUGUUAUUUUUUUUAAAAUUCUGUGAAUCUGCGUUUUUUAUUUUAAAAUUCUGCAAUACUGUGUGAAUGUACAAAUUCUGUGAUCUAGUAGUAUUUGAUGUGUCUCCUUAAUCUAUGCUAAGUGGAAUUCGUUUUAGAAUUUCAGAUUAUUAGAAUUUGAUGUGAUUGGUUGUUGCUAAUAAUGCUAAGAACUUCACGUUGUUGAGUAUCUUUGUGGUGUUGCUUUUGUUUUGCCGCUGUUUCGCAUUUUGAAAGCGUAGCUGCUGCUAUUUGGAACUGGAUUUUAGGAGUCUGAGUAUGCUUCAUUUAGGGAGCUAUCCGUUUACUUCAUCUAUGUACUUUGAUGCAUGACACGUGUAAAAAAAUAAACUAAUGGCUGAGAUGAAAAAGUCAAAAUUAGUUUUUUUUUUUUGGUACAAAUUGCUCAAGUUUUUUUUUUAUAAUAACAAAAAGGAACGCGUUAUCCCUCUUCUUCUACCCCUGCAAGCCGCCACUACCAAUCAAUUCCAUAGAUUCAUGAUUUCCAAUUCUGUUCGCAAGAAUUCCCCCAUUUUAAUUCUCAUGGAUUGUUAUCGAAAAGCAUGAAAAAGGAUUGUUAUUAAAAAAUACAGGAAAACAGAGAUUUAUUUCUGCAUAAAUGGAGCAAGAUGUAUCCAAUAGGUAUCAUGGAGUGCUUUGCGAUAUCUGUACUAUCAAUUCCUCCUGAUGGGAAUGUAAGUCUCGUAUGUGGAAAGCUGAAUCUCAUAGACUUGGCAGGUUACCGUCCACUCGAUUGGGGUGAAGGGUUUGAUGUAUUGCAAGCAAAGGAAGGAUAUGAGAUUUAGUGUAGCAAUCACAUGUGUGUUUCUUUAUUUUUCCCUUUUUAAUUUCAGCCGUUGGAUAUUAUGUUGCCACAUGUCAAACAUUUAGGAAGGUAAAUGGAGCAUACCCGGACUCGGAUUUUAGUGUGUGCAUCUAGUGUGUUCUGUUAGCAUUGCAGUUUUUGGCUUCGGCUUGUUCUUAUUUUUGGCAGCAUGAUUGGGUUCAGUGUGUGCCAUUGUUGCAAUGUGAAUGUUUCCAUAUCCCCCCUAGUUUAAGUUUCAGAUCUAGUAGAAUUUGAUGUGAUUGGUUAUUACUAAUAAUUCUAACAAGUUUUAGUUACGUUCACGUGAUUUUUGUAUUUAAAGUUAGAAGUAUUUUAAAUUUAUUUGCUAUGCUUAAUGGGGUUACUUGCUUCUCUUUAGUAAUUAGUGAUUUAGCACAAAAGAACAAGGGCAAAAACGAAGCAUAGUUAGAAUGAUCCUGCACAUACUAAUAAAUUAUAAUUUGGAGAGAAAUUCAUUGUUAUCUUCAUUCAUCAUAAUUUACAUAAAGAGAAUAGAGGCCAAACUUUUUUGGAAGAGAAAGUUAAAUUACAACACCUCUACAAGCAUAUAAUCUAACUUAGAUUUAGGAACCCUUCAUCGUUGUCAGUGGAUCCUAGAGAAGAAGUAUCAAAGAAUGGAUUUUAAAACUUGUUCCACAGUCUGCUCUAAUUAAUUGGGACCCCAGAACUGAAGUACAUGACUUUUCUCUAAGAUCCCUCUGAUUGUUUUGCAUUCUUUAAUCUUUGUCUGUUAGAAGUAGAAACAAUUGCAGAAGAAGAGAAGUGAAAGUUUCUUUGCUUGAGAAAACAAUUUGAUAUUGUUGAUUUUGAACCGACUUUAGUGUAUGAUUCCAUCUGCAUAUUCCUAAACAAGUUGAAGAAUUUGAAAAAGCAUGAAGAACACUAGCCUUUGUCCACGUUUCGCUGCACCUGCCUCCUCAUCGGUCGCACCGGCCUCCUCCUCGGUCGCGCCUGCUUCUGCUGGUCUGCCUGCCACUGCUCCACAGAUUGAAAAAUCUGAAAAAAGGCAUGAAGAAUACUAGCUAUUGUUCACAAUUCGCUGCGCCAGCCUACUCCUCUGCUGCACCAGCCUCUGCUAAUGAGCCUGCCUCUAUUGCUGUACCUUCCAUUUUUACUGGACAGAUGAGAAUUGUACUGUUAGUUGUGAAAGUUUAUGCCUCUGCAGCUUCUACCGGGAGUUUUGGGAAUUGGCUUGAAAAAGAGUUCGGAAAGAUUGGGUAAAGAUGUGAAUCGUUUUAGAGUUUGUGAGGAUGUGUUUGAUGAUCCAAGAAAUAUUAUGAAUGAGUUGAAGAAAUUUGAGCUAAUUCAAGAAGUAUUUUGCGAAGAUGCAUAUUUUGUGGUUGCACUGAUGUUGAUCAUCUACCAUUUGCUAAAUAUUGAUUAGUGAUUUAUGUACAAUUCGUUAAAAUGUACUUGACAAUAUAUUUUUACUUUGUAGUUAUUUUAGUGCUAUUUGUGUAUAUGACAAUUUUAAUUUGAUACGAUUUCAAUUUUAUCACUCAAUUUUUUUU
Molecule: RNA transcript, 2394 nt
Organism: Medicago truncatula (barrel medic)
Lineage: Eukaryota; Viridiplantae; Streptophyta; Magnoliopsida; Fabales; Fabaceae
Exons: 3
Source: RefSeq, a predicted model, not a curated record